AAUAUUUUUGUUAUUUUAUAGUCACUAGUACUUGUUUUGACUAUCUGUGUAUAUAAUGUCAAUCGUUACAUUCGAAAUAUAUCUUGAAUUGGAUCUUUUUCUUCACUUAUUGUUCCGUCAUAACGCAGAUACAAUUUGGGAUAGCUGUAACAUGUGGACAAUAUAUGUGAGGAAAAUAUAUAGAUCGUUCGUCAAUAAUAUUUUUAUAAAGACUUCUAACGUCCGUCAUUGUAAAAACGUAUUAGUGAAUAUGAAAAAAUUAGCAAAUUAUUUAAAACAAUUGUUGAUACAGAACUAUUAUAAAAACCUAUUAUAAAAGAUUAUAUAUUAUUGUAUAAUAUUCAAUUAUUACAAGUAAAACGCAUCACAAAAGAGAACAACUCACUGUCAGCAUUAACUGGAAAGAAUACGAAAGCAAACUCCAUCCACUUGCGCCCUCUGUGAGAACAUUUUUUAUUUUGUCAUCAGCGUUUUCAAUUCUUGCAGAGGAAGAUGGACAAAAGUUACAUCAAUGUCAUCUAUGAUUUAAUAGAGAAUGAAAAUCGAUGAAAAUAACUUCGUCGUAGCGGAAAAAAAUCAACAUAGCGUUUCUUCCGCAAGAAAGACGACGCAGAGAAAGGGAUAGUAGAUAUGGAGUGGAUAUUUCGAAGGAAGGUAUGUACGCGAUUCAAGGAAAAAAGUCUGCAUUGGAGAAAGGACGGCUUUAUCCGUUCACUGCGGAGCUGUUACGUAUAAAUGCAGAAACGCGGCCCGGUUCGCGGAGGUUGAGCGAUCGUUGGUGGGAGCGAGCUUGAUUCCGCGUUGAUUCAGACCGUAUUCAGUGCAUCGAGCUCGCGAUGAAAAGGCGUUCCGUUUUCUGAAUAUAUUCCAAUUAAAAAGUCGGAGCUUCGUUGCCCUCACCUCUGCCCGCUCACCUCUUGCUUAUGCCUCAUCCCCUGAAAGAGAGAAAGAGAGAGAGAGAGAGUGAGAGGAGAGAGAGGAGAGAGAGAGAGAGAGAGAGCAAGCGCCGGCUCAAGCGGCAACUCGAGCGCUCUUCUUCUUUUUCUUCUACGCCCCACUAUCCCGUACCACCGACCCCCUUUUACUUCUGCCUUUUGCCUUCCGCCCCUACCGACGACGCGAUCCCUUUUUCCUAUCGCUCGACCAACCAGACAUUUUCUCCCUCUCGCUGUUUCUCCAGCAAUUACUUCUCCGCUUUUUCUUCCUUCCUCUUUUUCACUUUUCUAUCUUUCUUCCCUUCUAAAAAACUCUUUCUACCAUUUUUUCUUCCUCGAUCCUUCCUAAUAUACCUUACUCAAUUUCAUCCCCAUAUUUUCGUCCGAAUAAUUUUCAUUAUUUUCAAUAAUUGUUUCAUAUUUAGGAAAAUGUAGAUGAUACGCAUUUAAAAGAUAUCUUAGUCGAUAAUCUUUGCCUAACAAAGUUUAUUUGUAAAUUUGGAUUAUACUUUAUGCAAUUGUUUCUAACAUGGGAAACGGCGAAUCAAGCUGUUGUUUCAUUCUCCGUGAAAAACAAAUGUAAAUUCUAUGCGUAUGUUCGCUCACGUACGCCUUGGAACCCCCAUGAAGUAUUUAACGAUGCCACAGAAUGAAGGCACAUCGUAAGGCUAAGGAGAGGAGAAGACGAAGAGGAAUACGAAGCGCGUGCCCAAGUGCCAACAGGAUUUACGCACGUAUGCACGCGCGUGUGCAAGCGUGUAUGCAAGCGCGUGUAUAGAUACGGAUAUUCGCUUGAGUACAAUGAGCACGUGGCCAGGCACACGCAACACCACUUGUCUCGCUCAACUUCGAUUCCUAUCCCUUCAUGGAUGAUCCUCGGGUCAACUUUUCGUCCUUGAUCUCGAGACUGCACCACUAAACAAAGUUAAAAGAGAGAGAGAGAUAGAGAGAAAGAAAGGGUCACCCUGUAACAAAUACGACUUCGCUAUAAAUAUCAUAAGUUUGUUAGCAAAGCUAAUGCAAGAAUUUUCGUUGAAUAUACUAAUCGCAUUUUUAAUCCAAUUUAUUAAUUAAGAUAAAAAUAGGAUUCAUUUUUCUAUAUAUAUAUAUAGGUACGUAAUACGAAUACGUGAAGCGAGCGAGAAAUAAUUCAGGAAUCUAAAUUAACGCGAUUAUAUUUAGAAACGGUCUAAUGAAUUUAAAAUUGUUCGCAGAGAUAAAACGUUCUAAUUACUUAUAUUGCUGGCACGUUUUAAUUAUUUCGCUGGUUAAUGGUUAACAUUGGAAAGAACGAAGAAACGAAUGUAGUACGGUAGGUCGAAGAACAGUAACCGCCUGAACCGACUGAAUAGCGAAUGCCGUUGGAUAUCAUCGUGAAUACUGUACGAAUGAUUAUGUGAAAGUAAUUACGCGUAAGAUAUUACGUAGGAAUAUCAUUGAGAUUUCGUUUCAACUAUGCUGCAGUGAGUCCUAACAAAACGAAAGAGAAAAAGAGAAAGAUGAUUCAAGUUGAAGGAGGACAUAAGAAUUUUUCCUUCGUUCGAGCGAUUUCACGCUCGGUGAGACGAAUCUGCUUUUCCUAUAAUUCGAGGACUUGGGAUGUAAGAAAAGAAAAAGAAAUAGAAAGAGAUAGAAAGAG
This is a long non-coding RNA of Vespa crabro (European hornet), 2574 nucleotides long. RefSeq lists it as uncharacterized. The record is from RefSeq and is a predicted model, not a curated record. NCBI's taxonomy places the organism in Eukaryota, Metazoa, Arthropoda, Insecta, Hymenoptera, Vespidae. The transcript has 4 exons.